CAGCCGUAAACUAUGCUCGCCAGGUGUCAGGCAUGGCGCGACCGUGUCUGGUGCCGCAGGGAAGCCGUGAAGCGAGCCACCUGGGAAGUACGGCCGCAAGGCUGAAACUUAAAGGAAUUGGCGGGGGGAGCACAACAACGGGUGGAGCCUGCGGUUUAAUUGGACUCAACGCCGGACAACUCACCGGGGACGGACAGCAAUAUGUAGGCCAGGCUGAAGACCUUGCCUGAAUCGCUGAGAGGAGGUGCAUGGC
Molecule: ribosomal RNA, 253 nt
Filed under: uncultured archaeon
Lineage: Archaea
Description: partial 16S ribosomal RNA
Rfam family: Archaeal small subunit ribosomal RNA
Source: RNAcentral